UACGAGGGGGGCGAGCGUUGUUCGGAAUUAUUGGGCGUAAAGGGCGCGUAGGCGGUGCGGUAAGUCACCUGUGAAACCUCUGGGCUUAACUCAGAGCCUGCAGGCGAAACUGCAGUGCUUGAGUACUUAAGAGGAUCGCGGAAUUCCCGGUGUAGAGGUGAAAUUCGUAGAUAUCGGGAGGAACACCAGUGGCGAAGGCGGCGAUCUGGGAAGAUACUGACGCUGAGGUGCGAAAGCGUGGGGAGCAAACAGG
This 253-nucleotide ribosomal RNA is filed under the name uncultured bacterium. Its description in RNAcentral is "partial 16S ribosomal RNA". It matches the Rfam family "Bacterial small subunit ribosomal RNA", at positions 524 to 776 of the family's 1533-position model. The record is from RNAcentral.